CCAGGAGCCUGAGUGGCGCGGGGGUGCCGCCCAGCCGCCCAGAGACGGCGUCCUCGAGCCGAAAGCAGCUAAAGAGCAGCCAAAGGCAGGCAAGGAGCCGGCGAAGCCAUCACCCAGCAGGGACAGGAAGGAGACGUCCAUCUGAGCGGCCUGCGCGGCCGUCUGGAGUCCGCGAGACUGAAAGGACCCGUGCAUCUCACUGUAACCGGGGGCCAGGCCGGCUCUCCGCUGUACAUUCUGUAAAGAAUCAGGAUCUCUUUGUCAUUCAAGGGGGGAACCACACCAGGUCAGCGCUGCGCCUGCUGUGGCCGCCGGGAGCCACGCCCUCCGGGAUCUCUGUUCCAAACCGCAGUCCAUAAGCCCGAGUCACCAGGACGGCCUCUCUGGCCACAGACGGGCUGCCUGUGGAGCCCGCCCACCCGCCCCGGGCAGCGCAGGCCUGCGGGGAGGAGGCCGCCCGUUCCCGCGGGUUCCUCACUGCGGGGACCAGCAAAGGCCGCCUCACUGGGUUGGUCAAAGGUAGUCACCUUGGCCUGGUGCAUCCACAGAGGAUGUUGCUCAAACCAGAAAUCUUUUAAACGACUGACCUUCCUUAAAAACGGAAUGACUGAUUGCUUGCUUGGGCUAGAAUGUACACGUCUCCUUGCCUGAAUAAGCCAUAUAUAUGCUCUUAAACAAAAGUUUGAAAUUAGCCGUAUCGUCUCAGUGAACCUACUGGUGGACUGACUCCCAAUUGACAAGAUUGAGCAAUAGAAAAAAAUUCCUUUCCUUUGAAUAGUAACUGUGAUUCGCCCCACCCCAUUUUCUUGUUUCUGGUCCAUCCAAUGAGACAUGAGACGGAUGCUCUGAUGCUCUGAGGCUUCUGGGAGGCUGGGCCCUGGAGGCGCCGUGCUGCAGGUGCGCUGUCAGAGUGAAUAGCACCCUGGUGAGACAGGCCAGGCUCGUGGCUCGGAAGACAAACCCCACACACACUCAAGGGGACGAAAGCAAACCCCACACGAGGGCUCCUCCUCCUCCUCCUCCAGGUAGUAUUUAUUUUCAGCACCCGUUUGAUGCAGUUUUUAAUCCUCUACCUAUUGCACUGUUGUGACUCGUUGGCCAUUAUUUGAUUUUUGUACAAAAAAAAGCUUUGUUAGAGAAAUCAGCAUACUAUUUUUUUAAAUCUGGAGAGAAGAUAUUCUGGUGACUGAAAGUAUGGUCGGGUGUCAGAUAUCAAUGUGCAAAUGCCUUCUUGCUGUCCUGUCGGUCUCAGUACAUUCACUUUGUAGCUGCUGGCAAUAUCGAAGGUUCCUUUUUUGUUUCUGUAAACUCUAAUUUCUAUCAAGGUGUCAUGGAUUUUUAAAAUUAGUAUUUCAUUACAAAUGUCUCAGCAUUGGUUAACUAAUUUUUGCCAGGACCAUUAUUGAUCAAGCAAAUAAACUCAACAGCCAUUUGGGAAAAAAAAAAAAG
RNAcentral lists this long non-coding RNA (1449 nucleotides) under Piliocolobus tephrosceles (Ugandan red Colobus). RNAcentral's name for it is "lncRNA (ENSPTEG00000006062.1)". Lineage: Eukaryota; Metazoa; Chordata; Mammalia; Primates; Cercopithecidae. The record is from RNAcentral.